This 299-nucleotide ribosomal RNA is filed under the name uncultured bacterium. RNAcentral describes it as "partial 16S ribosomal RNA". It matches the Rfam family "Bacterial small subunit ribosomal RNA", at positions 32 to 323 of the family's 1533-position model. The record is from RNAcentral.
AAUCAACGCUGGCGGCGUGCCUCAGACAUGCAAGUCGAACGAUUAAAGCUCUCUUCGGAGAGUGUAUAGAGUGGCGCACGGGUGAGUAACACGUAAGUAAUCUACCUUCGAGUGGGGAAUAACACCGAGAAAUACGGUGCUAAUACCGCAUAAUGCAGCGGCAUCGCAAGAUGACAGUUGUUAAAGAUUAUCGCUUGAAGAGGAGCUUGCGGCAGAUUAGCUAGUUGGUAAGGUAAUGGCUUACCAAGGCUACGAUCUGUAACCGGUCUAAGAGGACGGUCGGUCACACUGACACUGAA